Molecule: long non-coding RNA, 350 nt
Organism: Solanum stenotomum
Lineage: Eukaryota; Viridiplantae; Streptophyta; Magnoliopsida; Solanales; Solanaceae
Exons: 3
Source: RefSeq, a predicted model, not a curated record
UUCAUUUCCAAAUUUGUAGGAAAAAAACACACGUAAUUCUCUCAUUUCCUUUUCCUUCUCCACAAACCUCUCUUUUAGUUAUUAGCCACAUCCACUCCUUAUCUCCCCACACAAAGCUCAAGGUCUAUAUCCUUAGAAAAGAAGGAUUGGCAAUUUUACUGUGGAAUUUGAGAACGUUGAAAAAUUGAAUGAAGAGUAAAGUUAUUAGAUAAGUUGGCUACAUUAGCAUAUAAGGAGUAACAUUUUUAUUUUCUUAUUGACGACUAACAUUAUGUACUUCCGUUAGGAUCAUAUAAGAAUCUUUUAAUGAGAUUAUUUCAAUAUUAUUUUAAUUGUAAAAUAUAUAUGAU